AUUGAACGCUGGCGGCAGGCUUAACACAUGCAAGUCGAGCGAGCGGCGGACGGGUGAGUAAUGUCUGGAAAACUGUCUGAGGGAGGGGGAUAACUACUGGAAACGGUAGCUAAUACCGCAUACCAUCAGAUGUGCCCAUAUGGGAUUAGCUAGUAGGUGGGGUAAUGGCACACCUAGGCGACGAUCCCUCGCUGGUCUGAGAGAAUGACCAGCCACACUGGAAAUGAGACACGGUCCAGACUCCUACGGGAGGCAGCAGUGGGGAAUAUUGCACAAUGGGCGCAAGCCUGAUGCAGCCAUGCCGCGUGUGUGAAGAAGGCCUUCGGGUUGUAAAGCACUUUCAGCGAGGAGGCGUUACUCGCAGAAGAAGCACCGGCUAACUCCGUGCCAGCAGCCGCGGUAAUUC
RNAcentral lists this ribosomal RNA (406 nucleotides) under uncultured bacterium. Its description in RNAcentral is "partial 16S ribosomal RNA". It matches the Rfam family "Bacterial small subunit ribosomal RNA", at positions 30 to 526 of the family's 1533-position model. The record is from RNAcentral.